CAGCCGCCGCGGUAAUGCGUAGGUGGCAAGCGUUGUCCGGAAUUAUUGGGCGUAAAGGGCUCGCAGGCGGUUUCUUAAGUCUGGUGUGAAAGCCCCCGGCUCAACCGGGGGGGGUCAUUGGAAACUGGGAAACUUGAGUGCAGAAGAGGAGAGUGGAAUUCCACGUGUAGCGGUGAAAUGCGUAGAGAUGUGGAGGAACACCAGUGGCGAAGGCGACUCUCUGGUCUGUAACUGACGCUGAGGAGCGAAAGCGUGGGGAGCGAACAGGAUUAGAUACCCGAGUAGUCCCUGUCUCUUAUAC
RNAcentral lists this ribosomal RNA (301 nucleotides) under uncultured bacterium. RNAcentral's name for it is "partial 16S ribosomal RNA". It matches the Rfam family "Bacterial small subunit ribosomal RNA", at positions 509 to 807 of the family's 1533-position model. The record is from RNAcentral.